This 1415-nucleotide ribosomal RNA is filed under the name bacterium NLAE-zl-P476. RNAcentral's name for it is "bacterial SSU rRNA". It matches the Rfam family "Bacterial small subunit ribosomal RNA". The record is from RNAcentral.
AUCNGGCUACCAUGCAAGUCGAGGGGCAGCAUGGUCUUAGCUUGCUAAGGCCGAUGGCGACCGGCGCACGGGUGAGUAACACGUAUCCAACCUGCCGUCUACUCUUGGACAGCCUUCUGAAAGGAAGAUUAAUACAAGAUGGCAUCAUGAGUCCGCAUGUUCACAUGAUUAAAGGUAUUCCGGUAGACGAUGGGGAUGCGUUCCAUUAGAUAGUAGGCGGGGUAACGGCCCACCUAGUCUUCGAUGGAUAGGGGUUCUGAGAGGAAGGUCCCCCACAUUGGAACUGAGACACGGUCCAAACUCCUACGGGAGGCAGCAGUGAGGAAUAUUGGUCAAUGGGCGAGAGCCUGAACCAGCCAAGUAGCGUGAAGGAUGACUGCCCUAUGGGUUGUAAACUUCUUUUAUAAAGGAAUAAAGUCGGGUAUGNAUACCCGUUUGCAUGUNCUUUAUGAAUAAGGAUCGGCUAACUCCGUGCCAGCAGCCGCGGUAAUACGGAGGAUCCGAGCGUUAUCCGGAUUUAUUGGGUUUAAAGGGAGCGUAGAUGGAUGUUUAAGUCAGUUGUGAAAGUUUGCGGCUCAACCGUAAAAUUGCAGUUGAUACUGGAUAUCUUGAGUGCAGUUGAGGCAGGCGGAAUUCGUGGUGUAGCGGUGAAAUGCUUAGAUAUCACGAAGAACUCCGAUUGCGAAGGCAGCCUGCUAAGCUGCAACUGACAUUGAGGCUCGAAAGUGUGGGUAUCAAACAGGAUUAGAUACCCUGGUAGUCCACACGGUAAACGAUGAAUACUCGCUGUUUGCGAUAUACGGCAAGCGGCCAAGCGAAAGCGUUAAGUAUUCCACCUGGGGAGUACGCCGGCAACGGUGAAACUCAAAGGAAUUGACGGGGGCCCGCACAAGCGGAGGAACAUGUGGUUUAAUUCGAUGAUACGCGAGGAACCUUACCCGGGCUUAAAUUGCAGAUGAAUUACGGUGAAAGCCGUAAGCCCCAAGGCAUCUGUGAAGGUGCUGCAUGGUUGUCGUCAGCUCGUGCCGUGAGGUGUCGGCUUAAGUGCCAUAACGAGCGCAACCCUUGUUGUCAGUUACUAACAGGUUCCGCUGAGGACUCUGACAAGACUGCCAUCGUAAGAUGUGAGGAAGGUGGGGAUGACGUCAAAUCAGCACGGCCCUUACGUCCGGGGCUACACACGUGUUACAAUGGGGGGUACAGAGGGCCGCUACCACGCGAGUGGAUGCCAAUCCCAAAAACCUCUCUCAGUUCGGACUGGAGUCUGCAACCCGACUCCACGAAGCUGGAUUCGCUAGUAAUCGCGCAUCAGCCACGGCGCGGUGAAUACGUUCCCGGGCCUUGUACACACCGCCCGUCAAGCCAUGGGAGCCGGGGGUACCUGAAGUGCGUAACCGCGAGAGCGCCCNNGUAAU